UAGCAUAUGACGAAUUGCUCGGAUUCCCCUUCAAGACUUCUUGAAUGAUGCACAACCCGAGUUUCUGAUGCU
Non-coding RNA from Cucumis melo (muskmelon), 72 nucleotides. The record is from Rfam. Lineage: Eukaryota; Viridiplantae; Streptophyta; Magnoliopsida; Cucurbitales; Cucurbitaceae.